This 199-nucleotide long non-coding RNA is filed under the name Sorghum bicolor (sorghum). Its description in RNAcentral is "long non-coding RNA (SBIC_LNC010911)". Lineage: Eukaryota; Viridiplantae; Streptophyta; Magnoliopsida; Poales; Poaceae. The record is from RNAcentral.
CCUUCUUGAUCCCACACUCUUAAACAUAUAAGCUAAAAUGUUGUACAUCCGAUCUUUGGAAAAUGAUAGUCAUGUAAAGAAAAAAAUAUUUACCUAGAUAGAUUAUCUUUCCAUAAGGUUGAGUGAUCUGAUGUGACAAAUAUUUUAAAUGCUACACUCAUGAUCUUAUCAUCCAUCAACUUUGUCUUGCUCACUAUGC